UGUUGAAUUGUCUUCAUCGUCUCCUAUUCAGAUUCUAAUAGAAUACUUAAC
This 51-nucleotide small RNA is filed under the name Arabidopsis thaliana (thale cress). RNAcentral describes it as "ATSL258540". The record is from RNAcentral. Lineage: Eukaryota; Viridiplantae; Streptophyta; Magnoliopsida; Brassicales; Brassicaceae.